RNAcentral lists this ribosomal RNA (279 nucleotides) under uncultured bacterium. RNAcentral describes it as "partial 16S ribosomal RNA". It matches the Rfam family "Bacterial small subunit ribosomal RNA", at positions 506 to 784 of the family's 1533-position model. The record is from RNAcentral.
UGCCAGCAGCCGCGGUAAUACGGAGGGUGCAAGCGUUAAUCGGAAUUACUGGGCGUAAAGCGCGCGUAGGCGGUUUGGUCAGUCAGAUGUGAAAGCCCCGGGCUCAACCUGGGAACUGCAUUUGAUACUGCCAAGCUAGAGUAUGAUAGAGGCAAGUGGAAUUCCAGGUGUAGCGGUGAAAUGCGUAGAUAUCUGGAGGAACAUCAGUGGCGAAGGCGACUUGCUGGAUCAAUACUGACGCUGAGGUGCGAAAGCGUGGGUAGCAAACAGGAUUAGAUA